Molecule: ribosomal RNA, 253 nt
Filed under: uncultured bacterium
Lineage: Bacteria
Description: partial 16S ribosomal RNA
Rfam family: Bacterial small subunit ribosomal RNA
Source: RNAcentral
UACGUAGGGUGCAAGCGUUGUCCGGAAUUAUUGGGCGUAAAGAGCUUGUAGGCGGUCUGUCGCGUCUGCUGUGAAAACUCAGGGCUUAACCCUGAGCUUGCAGUGGGUACGGGCAGACUAGAGUGCGGUAGGGGAGACUGGAAUUCCUGGUGUAGCGGUGAAAUGCGCAGAUAUCAGGAGGAACACCGGUGGCGAAGGCGGGUCUCUGGGCCGUAACUGACGCUGAGGAGCGAAAGCAUGGGGAGCGAACAGG